This is a non-coding RNA of Callorhinchus milii (elephant shark), 74 nucleotides long. NCBI's taxonomy places the organism in Eukaryota, Metazoa, Chordata, Chondrichthyes, Chimaeriformes, Callorhinchidae. The record is from the annotation of a RefSeq genome assembly.
AGUCCUAUAGCUCAGUGGUUAGAGCACUUGUCUUACGAGCAAGAGGACCUGGGUUCGAUUCCUGGGCAGGGCGA